This 374-nucleotide ribosomal RNA is filed under the name Ixodes ricinus (castor bean tick). RNAcentral's name for it is "partial large subunit ribosomal RNA". The record is from RNAcentral. Lineage: Eukaryota; Metazoa; Arthropoda; Arachnida; Ixodida; Ixodidae.
GGUAUUUUGACUAUACGAAGGUAUUGAAAUAAGAUUUUAAAUGAGUGCUAAGAGAAUGAUUAAACAAUUAAAAGCUUUCUUUAAUUGAAUAAUUGAAUUUAAUUUUUUAGUGCAAAAGCAAAAAUAAAAAUUAGGGACAAGAAGACCCUAUGAAUUUUUUAUUAAAUUUUAUAAAACUUUAUAUAAAAUUUAAUUUAAUUGGGGUGAUGGAAAAAGAAUAAAUAUCUUUUUUUUAAAGAAAAUUGGUUCCGUUUUUAGCGAUUAAAUGAAAAAAAUACUCUAGGGAUAACAGCGUAAUAAUUUUGGAUAGUUCAUAUAGAUAAAAUAGUUUGCGACCUCGAUGUUGGAUUAGGAUUCUUUUUUGGUGAAGAAGU